This is a non-coding RNA of Gossypium hirsutum (cotton), 106 nucleotides long. The record is from Rfam. NCBI's taxonomy places the organism in Eukaryota, Viridiplantae, Streptophyta, Magnoliopsida, Malvales, Malvaceae.
AAUCCAUGAUGAGGACACCUUUGCACUAGGUCCUUGUAUCUCUCCCAUGUAUCGUAAAGAGUUUCUAAGUCCAUCUGCACAAACGAAGAGAUAUCAUUAUGUAAUU